AUGGAUGAGGCUGCUGCCACUGACAGCAGGGCUGGUGAUGGUACUAAGGCUAAUGUUUCUGAUCACCAUAUGAAUGUUGUUGGGUUGGAGCCUCCUGUUGUUGAUGAGACCAGUCACAAUGUUGAGGCUGCUGUUGACCAUGGAAUUAAUGAUCCAUCUAUUGAUAAGUGCAAGGGUCCUGUUGUUGGCGACGAGCCUUGUUCGACCAUUGGUGAUGUUCCUUUGAAUGUUAGUAGCAGCAAGAUCGAUGAUGUUGCUGUGAAUGCUGCUAAGAUGACUGAUGUUGAGAGUGAGGCUGCCCUUAGUGGUGGAGAUGAUGCUUGUAGUGUUCCAUUGAGUAGUGGGCGUGAUGUUGGUACCAAAGUUGGUGAUGAGGUUGUUGGUGCUGCCAGCAUACUUGAUGCCAAAUCGUCUGGUGUUGGUAUUGCUGGGAAUGAAAAUCUUUCUGAUUCUGAAGAUUUACCGCCGAAAAAUUUCCCGCCUGGAGGGCUUGAUUACGGUGAUGCAUUGCAAGAUGCCUCUAGCGUGGAGGAGGAACUCCCAUCGUCAAACUCUGACAGUGCAGAAGGUGCUAAUGUUGUUAAGGUUGAUUUGUUUUUCUUCGCUGUUACGAGGUUGCGCACGAACCGUGCGAAAUAUGACAAGCCAAUGUUUCAAAAUCGUGAACGUGAUGCCAAUGUUGGUUCCAUUGCUAAAGCGUUUGUCCCCACUGGCAUGCUCAACUUAGACAGUGUUGACGUUGUUUUAUAUUCUCUGUGUCAGAAGUACCGAGACACUGACAAGUUGAUAGUUCCCAGAUGGCUUAUUUUCCCUACUUUUGAUCUGCCGUCAUUUGCAGCUGCCAUGAAACCUAGUGACGAAUCUGGGCAUUGGUGCUUGAUUGUUCUGAAUUUGAGGUUCCAUCGUUUUGAGUGUCUUGAAUCACUCCGUGAUGAAACCUGGAGUGAUGCAGUUAGAUUCUUAAGGACUAUGACAGAUAACAUAAAGAAGCUUCGGAGGGAGUCCAGCGUAGACAGGGCCAAACCGUUCUCGCCGCCGCAUAUUGACGGUUUCUCUUGCGAGUUUGUGCGGGUGCCGCAGUAG
Molecule: ribosomal RNA, 1083 nt
Filed under: Triticum aestivum (bread wheat)
Lineage: Eukaryota; Viridiplantae; Streptophyta; Magnoliopsida; Poales; Poaceae
Description: partial small subunit ribosomal RNA
Source: RNAcentral